Molecule: ribosomal RNA, 905 nt
Filed under: uncultured bacterium
Lineage: Bacteria
Description: bacterial SSU rRNA
Rfam family: Bacterial small subunit ribosomal RNA
Source: RNAcentral
AGAGUUUGAUCAUGGCUCAGGACGAACGCUGGCGGCGUGCUUAACACAUGCAAGUCGAGCGGAAAGGCCCCUUCGGGGGUACUCGAGCGGCGAACGGGUGAGUAACACGUGAGUAACCUGCCCUCGACUCCGGGAUAAGCCUGGGAAACUGGGUCUAAUACCGGAUAUUCACCUCCUGUCGCAUGGUGGGGGGUGGAAAGUUCCCUCUUUUUGGGGGUUCGGUCGGGGAUGGGCUCGCGGCCUAUCAGCUUGUUGGUGGGGUGACGGCCUACCAAGGCGACGACGGGUAGCCGGCCUGAGAGGGCGACCGGCCACACUGGGACUGAGACACGGCCCAGACUCCUACGGGAGGCAGCAGUGGGGAAUCUUGCGCAAUGGGCGAAAGCCUGACGCAGCGACGCCGCGUGGGGGAUGAAGGCCUUCGGGUUGUAAACCCCUUUCAGCACCGACGAAUGAAGGACGGUAGGUGCAGAAGAAGCGCCGGCUAACUACGUGCCAGCAGCCGCGGUAAUACGUAGGGCGCGAGCGUUGUCCGGAAUUAUUGGGCGUAAAGAGCUCGUAGGCGGCUUGUCGCGUCUGUCGUGAAAGCCCACGGCUUAACCGUGGGUUUGCGGUGGAUACGGGCAGGCUAGAGGCAGGUAGGGGAGCAUGGAAUUCCCGGUGUAGCGGUGAAAUGCGCAGAUAUCGGGAGGAACACCGGUGGCGAAGGCGGUGCUCUGGGCCUGUUCUGACGCUGAGGAGCGAAAGCGUGGGGAGCGAACAGGAUUAGAUACCCUGGUAGUCCACGCCGUAAACGUUGGGCGCUAGGUGUGGGGUUCUUCCACGGAUUCCGCGCCGUAGCUAACGCAUUAAGCGCCCCGCCUGGGGAGUACGGCCGCAAGGCUAAAACUCAAAGGAAUUGACGG